Molecule: ribosomal RNA, 500 nt
Filed under: uncultured bacterium
Lineage: Bacteria
Description: bacterial SSU rRNA
Rfam family: Bacterial small subunit ribosomal RNA
Source: RNAcentral
GAUGAACGCUAGCUACAGGCUUAACACAUGCAAGUCGAGGGGCAGCACGGAGAUAGCUUGCUAUCUUGGGUGGCGACCGGCGCACGGGUGAGUAACGCGUAUCCAACCUGCCCAUUACUCAGGGAUAGCCUUGCGAAAGUAAGAUUAAUACCUGAUGUUGUUAAAAACCCGCAUGAGUUUUUAACCAAAGAUUUAUUGGUAAUGGAUGGGGAUGCGUGACAUUAGGUAGUAGGUGAGGUAACGGCUCACCUAGCCGACGAUGUCUAGGGGUUCUGAGAGGAAGGUCCCCCACACUGGAACUGAGACACGGUCCAGACUCCUACGGGAGGCAGCAGUGAGGAAUAUUGGUCAAUGGACGAGAGUCUGAACCAGCCAAGUAGCGUGCAGGAUGACGGCCCUCUGGGUUGUAAACUGCUUUUGUUUGGGAAUAAAGUGAGGACGUGUCCCUUUUUGUAUGUACCAUUCGAAUAAGCAUCGGCUAAUUCCGUGCCAGCAGCCGA